This 356-nucleotide unclassified non-coding RNA is filed under the name soil metagenome. RNAcentral describes it as "partial contains 5.8S ribosomal RNA, internal transcribed spacer 2, and large subunit ribosomal RNA". The stretch from base 1 to 120 matches the Rfam family "5.8S ribosomal RNA", at positions 35 to 154 of the family's 154-position model. The record is from RNAcentral.
GAUGAAGAACGUAGUGAAAUGCGAUAAGUAAUGUGAAUUGCAGAAUUCAGUGAAUCAUCGAAUCUUUGAACGCACAUUGCGCCCGCCAGUAUUCUGGCGGGCAUGCCUGUCCGAGCGUCAUUUCAACCCUCGAACCCCUCCGGGGGGUCGGCGUUGGGGAUCGGGAACCCCUAAGACGGGAUCCCGGCCCCGAAAUACAGUGGCGGUCUCGCCGCAGCCUCUCCUGCGCAGUAGUUUGCACAACUCGCACCGGGAGCGCGGCGCGUCCACGUCCGUAAAACACCCAACUUCUGAAAUGUUGACCUCGGAUCAGGUAGGAAUACCCGCUGAACUUAAGCAUAUCAAUAAGCGGAGGA